Long non-coding RNA from Asterias rubens (European starfish), 1140 nucleotides. RefSeq lists it as uncharacterized. Lineage: Eukaryota; Metazoa; Echinodermata; Asteroidea; Forcipulatida; Asteriidae. The record is from RefSeq and is a predicted model, not a curated record. The transcript is spliced from 2 exons.
CUCAUUAACGACUUGUACAAGUUGUCAUCAGUUUGUGCACAGCCUAUGGGCACUUCAGCCGAAAUCGUACGGACGCAUCUGAUUGGUCGAUGUCGUUAAAUCAAUGAAUAUUCAACAUGUAUAUGCUAUCAAACAGUACACCCUGUAUUGGAUGGGUUCGGGAAGUCACAUGUAUGAAUGAACGAUCAACAAACCUGUCAGCGUGUAUUUAUUAUGCCUACACACUAGACGUCGUGUGUGUAUGGUUGUACUUUUGAGUACGGAUUUUCAUCGGGAACUUUGACGUGCAUAUUAAAUAAAUAACUUCGUCUUAACUUGGUCUGACUUGGUUGAUAAACUUGAAGAACAAGAUAUAGAAGCAGCUGUCAAGUAGCCAGUUUUCUCAAGGCAUGCAACAUGCAAGAGAUCUGCUCACGUCGACGACAGGUCGCAAGGAAAAAGAAGAAGAAGCCGCCAUUUAUAUGCAUCAUGCCAACACACACACACUGCACACAGCGUGUAUUGAUUGAUGAAAGGCAAUGACACUUUUGUAAACAAAUGAUUUGCACCGGCCGAAUAUUCGAUGAAAUCAGUAGCCUUGCUCAAGGCAGUGGUGAUGGUUGGUGCAUACUGUGUUGGCAUCAUGAAAUCAACACAGGGUCACAUGGCAGCCUGACAGUGCAAGGGAAACACUCCUCGUUUAAGAAGGAAGUUCAUUCCACCCCUACCCCUAAGCUGCUGUAAAAACUGAAAGUUUGAUCUCCUGCCUUACUGCGAGUCAUGGGAAAAGUUAGCCGAGAUGGAUCUGCAUUGGAGUGAAGAUGUGUACACAAAAACUGAUACAACUCUAGACACUCAUUAAAUUACUCUGGUGCCUGAUUUAUAAAGAAAUGUUCAUACAAAUAAAAUAAUCUUAAUUGCAAUCCUCUGUUUAAUUGGUAACCAAUGAAGCGAUCUUAGAAGGAGCAUGGCAUCACGACGGCGAUUUAACCUAAAUAUAACACGAGCAGCCCAGUUCUGCAAACUGUGAAGUCUCUUUUAAAAUAUGCAUGUGGGUUUUCUGUAAGCAGCCCAUUACAACAAUCUAACCGAGAAAGAACAUGGCUGCGAAUCACAUGAUGUUAUGAAUCGUCAGAUACAUACUUCCUAAUCUGUGACACA